GUGCUGAAACGGAGACGUACAAAGCGAGGUUUGUUACAUUCCCACGAUUGCUUAACAAUAUAGAUAACUUGAUAUUAUUAUACAAACCCUCAUUUUGUUGCUAAGAUGUAAGUUUGUGAAGCACUGUUGUGUACCAGCUUCUACCUUCAGGAAUCGAUUGGUCGUUAGCAAGCUAAUGGAUAGCUAACGUUAGUAGCAUAGGGAAGCUAACACUAGCUUCAAAUAGGAUUCACCAUGUUGGAUUGCUAGUGACUAGCAGCAGUAAACGCAAGAUCUGCUGGCGGGAACCGACUGCAGCUACCUGGACAGCUACUGUGUUGACAUUGCAGAGACUAAUAAGAGUUAUUUUUCCGUCCGUCUCCAUCACAGCUCCUGUAGCUAAGCUGCUACGCUACCUUUAGCCGCUCAGAGCUACGAAGAGGGCUGGGAGAGUGGGAGGGGAUGAGUCGGAAACACGGUUGAGGAAUGUGUGGAAUACGGCGAGGUGAUUGGAUGGAGAGACGGAGCAGGAGAUAGACCAAUAAGAGCUGUCCAGGAUGAAUGGCUCCUAUUGGUCAAUGUUUUUGCAGCCCUGCAGCUGCUAUGGUGAACAGAUUUUUUCUUUUUUUUUUUCUCUUCACUUUGUGGAGAUCGCACUAUAAGACCAUGAUCGCCAUGUAAACGAGGUUCAUAAUAGUUACCAAUCUCUCCAAUCGUCAACCAUGCCUUUAAGCUGUAAUGUUUUAUCGCUUGCCUCGCCUUUACUCCGUUGUCAUUGCUAUCAAUGUUUGGAAUGUGCAGGAAACUUUUAUGUGACAAAGAAAAAUACAUGCAUAACAAGCACGACUGCAUCAGCAAGAAAACAAAGAGCUUGUAAACGAAGUGUAAUGGGUGGAGGGUAAUCCAGCUUUAUUUCACAGCUCUGUUGAAUAUUGUGAUUCUGAUAUGACAAACACUCCCUAUUCAGUGACUUAAAAUUGAGUCUGAAAUAGGCAGCAUCUGUAAGCUCACAUCCUUCCCUUCAGCCUGUGUAGAAGCAGCUCUGCAGACGCUCAUUUAGGCCACUUCAGAUCUCAUCCGGUCCAAACAUACAGUCGUUAUCUCCGGGGACGUUUCUCUGUCUUUUCCACACUGCGGUGCACAUGUCGACCCCUUCCCUCACGUGGAUUUGUUAUUGUGAGUGUGUGACGCUGUGAGAUUGUUUGCAUUGGUGACGUCACCUCCCUGAUUUCAUUUGCAUUGAAUAGAAAGACCCUAAUAUCCUGGAGCAUGGAUCCCUCUGAGAAAAGAAGAAAAGACUGCGUCUCUAACAGCUGUGUGUGGUGAGGCACGAUGAGUUUUUGCACCUUGAAGGUUUUUUUUUGGUGAAAUUUAUCUUCUUUACAAAUUCUGCAAAGAUUGCUCAGGUUUCAUAACAUCUUAUUCCUGAUGCUGCCUUAUUGACUCUGAUUAGCAGGGAGCAAACCUGGCUGUGUGUUUGUAUGUGCGCAGGCUUUGACACUGUUUGUUCACACUGUGUAAAAGCGAGCUCCCUGUCGUGCAGUAACAGCCCGUGUGAUGAAGGUGUCUGCCCUUGAACAGCGUGUUUCCCUUUUGUCAUCCUUACAUAAAGUCCUAAUUUUCACCUGGAUUUCCUGACAUGAAUGCGGCUGCGGUUUGAUUUACCGAGGCGGCUGAUUUGUGUUUGCUGCAGAGCUGUGAGGCGCUAACACUCCCCAGACUUGUUCAAGGGAAAAAACCCCACAGAUGGCUUUAAUUGUACAGCAGCUCGAUGAAGCAUGCUCGCCAAACCAAACACUGCUUUAUGACUGAGGAGGGGAGGAGGACUGCAAAGUGUCCAACACACACUGAGACAUGCAUGCACACCCACACACACACACACACACACACACACACAGAGGUCUGGCUGGUGCUGCCUGUCGCUGGCUUUCUGAGUGUUUACUUGCCGUAUGAGGGGGGAUCCUGGGAGGCAGCUAUUUUUAGCUCUGGUUUCAUCAUUCCUCUCUCUCCACUCUGUGUGCAGCUGCAGGCUGGAGCUGCAUCCUAAUGAAGAGACGAGCGGAUGGCAGUAAAACACCUUUUGUUUGCUUCAGAGAGAAAGGCUCCAGCAACUCGGUCGAUACUAAAAUUCAAGAUUAAACGUGGAAGAAGAGCUGGAUGUUAUGGUAAGAAAGUGGACACACAUUUACAUGUAGAGUAAGGUGCAAAGGAAGUUGAGUCCACAGUUGCACAUACUGGAU
RNAcentral lists this long non-coding RNA (2219 nucleotides) under Xyrichtys novacula (pearly razorfish). Lineage: Eukaryota; Metazoa; Chordata; Actinopteri; Labriformes; Labridae. The record is from RNAcentral.